This 284-nucleotide ribosomal RNA is filed under the name Ruminococcus callidus. RNAcentral's name for it is "partial 16S ribosomal RNA". It matches the Rfam family "Bacterial small subunit ribosomal RNA", at positions 493 to 776 of the family's 1533-position model. The record is from RNAcentral. Lineage: Bacteria; Bacillati; Bacillota; Clostridia; Eubacteriales; Oscillospiraceae.
UCUUUUCCUUGUGUGCCAGCCGCCGCGGUAAUACGUAGGGAGCGAGCGUUGUCCGGAAUGACUGGGUGUAAAGGGAGCGUAGGCGGGAUGGCAAGUCAGAUGUGAAACCUGAGGGCUCAACCUUCAGACUGCAUUUGAAACUGCUGUUCUUGAGUGAAGUAGAGGUAAGCGGAAUUCCUGGUGUAGCGGUGAAAUGCGUAGAGAUCAGGAGGAACAUCGGUGGCGAAGGCGGCUUACUGGGCUUUUACUGACGCUGAGGCUCGAAAGCGUGGGGAGCAAACAGG